UACAGAGGGUGCAAGCGUUGUUCGGAAUUACUGGGCGUAAAGCGCGUGUAGGCGGCGGCGUUAGUCGGGUGUGAAAUCCCUCAGCUCAACUGAGGAGGUGCAUUCGAUACUGCGUCGCUUGAAUGUCGGAGGGGAUGGCGGAAUUCCCGGUGUAGAGGUGAAAUUCGUAGAUAUCGGGAGGAACACCUGUGGCGAAGGCGGCCAUCUGGACGACAAUUGACGCUGAGACGCGAAAGCGUGGGUAGCAAACAGG
RNAcentral lists this ribosomal RNA (253 nucleotides) under uncultured bacterium. RNAcentral's name for it is "partial 16S ribosomal RNA". It matches the Rfam family "Bacterial small subunit ribosomal RNA", at positions 524 to 776 of the family's 1533-position model. The record is from RNAcentral.